UACGUAGGGUGCAAGCGUUGUCCGGAAUUAUUGGGCGUAAAGAGCUCGUAGGCGGUUUGUUGCGUCGGCUGUGAAAUCCCGAGGCUCAACCUCGGGUCUGCAGUCGAUACGAGCAAACUAGAGUGUUGCAGGGGAGACUGGAAUUCCUGGUGUAGCGGUGAAAUGCGCAGAUAUCAGGAGGAACACCGAUUGCGAAGGCGGCAUCCUGGACCAACACUGACACUGAAAAGCGAAAGCCAGGGGAGCAAACGGG
This 253-nucleotide ribosomal RNA is filed under the name uncultured bacterium. RNAcentral describes it as "partial 16S ribosomal RNA". It matches the Rfam family "Bacterial small subunit ribosomal RNA", at positions 524 to 776 of the family's 1533-position model. The record is from RNAcentral.